CUAUGGACUAAAGUCCAUGGCGGAAGGAG
RNAcentral lists this non-coding RNA (29 nucleotides) under unclassified sequences. Its description in RNAcentral is "L31-Firmicutes ribosomal protein leader". It matches the Rfam family "L31-Firmicutes ribosomal protein leader". The record is from RNAcentral.